This 1374-nucleotide ribosomal RNA is filed under the name uncultured bacterium. RNAcentral's name for it is "bacterial SSU rRNA". It matches the Rfam family "Bacterial small subunit ribosomal RNA", at positions 28 to 1381 of the family's 1533-position model. The record is from RNAcentral.
GAUGAACGCUGGCGGCGUGCCUAAUACAUGCAAGUCGAGCGAACAGAUAAGGAGCUUGCUCCUUUGACGUUAGCGGCGGACGGGUGAGUAACACGUGGGUAACCUACCUAUAAGACUGGGAUAACUUCGGGAAACCGGAGCUAAUACCGGAUAAUAUUUCGAACCGCAUGGUUCGAUAGUGAAAGAUGGUUUUGCUAUCACUUAUAGAUGGACCCGCGCCGUAUUAGCUAGUUGGUAAGGUAACGGCUUACCAAGGCGACGAUACGUAGCCGACCUGAGAGGGUGAUCGGCCACACUGGAACUGAGACACGGUCCAGACUCCUACGGGAGGCAGCAGUAGGGAAUCUUCCGCAAUGGGCGAAAGCCUGACGGAGCAACGCCGCGUGAGUGAUGAAGGUCUUCGGAUCGUAAAACUCUGUUAUUAGGGAAGAACAUACGUGUAAGUAACUGUGCACGUCUUGACGGUACCUAAUCAGAAAGCCACGGCUAACUACGUGCCAGCAGCCGCGGUAAUACGUAGGUGGCAAGCGUUAUCCGGAAUUAUUGGGCGUAAAGCGCGCGUAGGCGGUUUUUUAAGUCUGAUGUGAAAGCCCCACGGCUCAACCGGUGGAGGGUCAUUGGAAACUGGAAAACUUGAGUGCAGAAGAGGAAAGUGGAAUUCCAUGUGUAGCGGUGAAAUGCGCAGAGAUAUGGAGGAACACCAGUGGCGAAGGCGACUUUCUGGUCUGUAACUGACGCUGAUGUGCGAAAGCGUGGGGAUCAAACAGGAUUAGAUACCCUGGUAGUCCACGCCGUAAACGAUGAGUGCUAAGUGUUAGGGGGUUUCCGCCCCUUAGUGCUGCAGCUAACGCAUUAAGCACUCCGCCUGGGGAGUACGACCGUAAGGUUGAAACUCAAAGGAAUUGACGGGGACCCGCACAAGCGGUGGAGCAUGUGGUUUAAUUCGAAGCAACGCGAAGAACCUUACCAAAUCUUGACAUCCUUUGACAACUCUAGAGAUAGAGCUUUCCCCUUCGGGGGACAAAGUGACAGGUGGUGCAUGGUUGUCGUCAGCUCGUGUCGUGAGAUGUUGGGUUAAGUCCCGCAACGAGCGCAACCCUUAAGCUUAGUUGCCAUCAUUAAGUUGGGCACUCUAAGUUGACUGCCGGUGACAAACCGGAGGAAGGUGGGGAUGACGUCAAAUCAUCAUGCCCCUUAUGAUUUGGGCUACACGCGUGCUACAAUGGACAAUACAAAGGGCAGCGAAACCGCGAGGUCAAGCAAAUCCCAUAAAGUUGUUCUCAGUUCGGAUUGUAGUCUGCAACUCGACUACAUGAAGCUGGAAUCGCUAGUAAUCGUAGAUCAGCAUGCUACGGUGAAUACGUUCCCGGGUCU